This 28-nucleotide non-coding RNA is filed under the name Bombyx mori (domestic silkworm). The record is from RNAcentral. Lineage: Eukaryota; Metazoa; Arthropoda; Insecta; Lepidoptera; Bombycidae.
UUCCGAAUUUUAUCAAUUUUACCUAGGA